Gossypium arboreum is the source of this 257-nucleotide long non-coding RNA. RefSeq lists it as uncharacterized. The record is from RefSeq and is a predicted model, not a curated record. Lineage: Eukaryota; Viridiplantae; Streptophyta; Magnoliopsida; Malvales; Malvaceae. The transcript is spliced from 3 exons.
GAAUUAAAUGGAUGAAAUAUGAAGUUUUAUUAAAAGAAAAAAGGGUGAAAAGAACAAAGUUUUGUCCAUCUUUGUUCAUCAUAGCUGAAAGUUAGAGAAGAGAAAGGAGAGGAGAAAGCUCUUGAGUAUUCGGUCAUUAGGAGGAGGAAAAUUGAAGGUGGUUCGUGUGUGGAUCUCGUCAGCAUAUCGUCGCAAACAGAUUUGCGAGUGUGCGAAUGCUCGUGAGGUAAAUCGAUUAAUGUUUUUGGUAAGCUGCA